This is a long non-coding RNA of Phacochoerus africanus (Common warthog), 175 nucleotides long. RefSeq lists it as uncharacterized. The record is from RefSeq and is a predicted model, not a curated record. NCBI's taxonomy places the organism in Eukaryota, Metazoa, Chordata, Mammalia, Artiodactyla, Suidae. The transcript has 2 exons.
CUGCAUAUUUGGGCCAGUUUCUCUAAGGGCACAGCUGGAGGUGGAGUCACUGUGUAUGCACAACAAACACAAACGCAGGAAAAAUGAUACGUCAUGUAAGAACUUAUUUUCACCCUUGGGGUUGCCGUGGUAAAGAACUGUCCACUGAAUGGAGAAUUCUGUUCACAUUUCUCAA